Long non-coding RNA from Juglans microcarpa x Juglans regia, 250 nucleotides. RefSeq lists it as uncharacterized. The record is from RefSeq and is a predicted model, not a curated record. The transcript is spliced from 3 exons. NCBI's taxonomy places the organism in Eukaryota, Viridiplantae, Streptophyta, Magnoliopsida, Fagales, Juglandaceae.
AAAGUUUCCAAAAUCUGCCUAGUCAACUCUGAUGUAUUCUAGGAGAUAUUGGGUGUAAAUGUGUGAAUAUUCUAGGAGAUUUAGUUUCCUUAGAAGUUAGCAUUUAAUUUAUUCUUUCCUACUUUAUUCUUUCCUUUCUCUCUUCAGUUGUAAUCUAUAUAUACUGCCUUGUACCUAUAUUACGAAUUUUAAUGAGAAUAAUUCCUACAAAUUACUCUCUCAUUCUAGAUGUUUCAUUUUUUGAUAUAUA